AACUAGCCCUGAUAGAAGCGGAAAUCCUGGCAUUGCAUGCGAGAAAAUUCAACGGAUUUGAUCUUUUCUUGCAAUGACAGAUUGCAGCGGAUAGCAGGUUCCCGG
RNAcentral lists this small RNA (105 nucleotides) under Halpernia humi. RNAcentral's name for it is "Chryseobacterium humi Flavo-1 RNA". It matches the Rfam family "Flavo-1 RNA". The record is from RNAcentral. Lineage: Bacteria; Pseudomonadati; Bacteroidota; Flavobacteriia; Flavobacteriales; Weeksellaceae.